CCAGAGAAUUUUAGCCAGAGAUGCUUUUAGUGCCUUCGGGAACUCUGAGACAGGUGCUGCAUGGCUGUCGUCAGCUCGUGUUGUGAAAUGUUGGGUUUAAGUCCCGCAACGAGCGCAACCCUUUAUCCUUUGUUGCCAGCACGUAAUGGUGGGAACUCAAAGGAGACUGCCGGUGAUAAACCGGAGGAAGUGGGGAUGACGUCAAGUCAUCAUGGCCCUUACGAGUAGGGCUACACACGUGCUACAAUGGCGCAUACAAAGAGAAGCGACCUCGCGAGAGCAAGCGGACCUCAUAAAGUGCGUCGUAGUCCGGAUUGGAGUCUGCAACUCGACUCCAUGAAGUCGGAAUCGCUAGUAAUCGUAAAUCAGAAUGUUACGGUGAAUACGUUCCCGGGCCUUGUACACACCGCCCGUCACACCAUGGGAGUGGGUUGCAAAAGAAGUAGAUAGCUUAACCUUCGGGAGGGCGUUUACCACUUUGUGAUUCAUGACUGGGGUGAAGUCGUAACAAGGUAGGCGUAGUGCU
This 526-nucleotide ribosomal RNA is filed under the name uncultured bacterium. RNAcentral's name for it is "bacterial SSU rRNA". It matches the Rfam family "Bacterial small subunit ribosomal RNA", at positions 988 to 1509 of the family's 1533-position model. The record is from RNAcentral.